This 207-nucleotide ribosomal RNA is filed under the name uncultured bacterium. RNAcentral describes it as "partial 16S ribosomal RNA". It matches the Rfam family "Bacterial small subunit ribosomal RNA", at positions 568 to 774 of the family's 1533-position model. The record is from RNAcentral.
CGCGCAGGCGGUUUUGUAAGCCUGGUGUUAAAGGCUCUGGCUUAACCAGAGUUGAGCGCUGGGAACUGCGAGACUGGAGUCCUGGAGGGGGAGCUGGAAUUCCAGGUGUAGGGGUGAAAUCUGUAGAUAUCUGGAAGAACACCGGUGGCGAAGGCGAGCUCCUGGCCAUGGACUGACGCUGAGGCGCGAAAGCGUGGGGAGCGAACA